This 408-nucleotide long non-coding RNA is filed under the name Lonchura striata (white-rumped munia). RNAcentral's name for it is "domestica (Bengalese finch) lncRNA (ENSLSDG00000003325.1)". Lineage: Eukaryota; Metazoa; Chordata; Aves; Passeriformes; Estrildidae. The record is from RNAcentral.
GUCCCAGGUGUGCCCAGGUGUGUCCCAGCUGUGUCUCACCUGUCCCAGGUGUGCCCAGGUGUGUCCCAGCUGUGUCUCACCUGUCUCAGGUGUGUCUCACCUGUCCCAGCUGUGCCCAGGUGUGUCCCAGCUGUGUCUCACCUGUCCCAGCUGUGUCUCACCUGUCCCAGGUGUGUCUCACCUAUCUCAGGUGUGUCUCACCUGUCCCAGGUGUGUCUCCAGGUGUGUCUCACCUGUCCCAGCUGUGUCUCACCUGUCUCAGGUGUGUCCCAGGUGUGUCUCACCUGUCCAGGUGUGUCUCACCUUGAUGAAGGCGUAGCCAGCGCUGUUGUCGGUGAUGGUCAGCCCCAGCUGUGCCCAGGUGUGUCUCACCUGUCUCAGGUGUGUCUCACCUUGAUGAAGGCGUAG